Molecule: ribosomal RNA, 119 nt
Filed under: Carassius auratus (goldfish)
Lineage: Eukaryota; Metazoa; Chordata; Actinopteri; Cypriniformes; Cyprinidae
Source: RNAcentral
ACUUACGGCCAUACCAACCUGGCUAUGACCGAUCUCGUUUGAUCUCGGAAGCUAAGCAGGUUUGGGCCUGGUUAGUACUUGGAUGGGAGACCGCCUGGGAAUACCAGGUGCUGUAAGCU